CUCGACAGAAGAACAUGUCAAAAUUUAUGUACUGCUUAAUACAGAACUCGGAAUUUUCUAAGAAAACAUUUGUGAAUAUGAUGUAAACCAGUGCUCAAUCAAACUUUCCGUUACCACUAGCAAAUCAAGAGACAAGUAUUACUUAUCCUACAUAAAGUGUUGCAGUAAAAAAAAUCAAACUAACAGAAAGUGCUACUAUUAACAGAUAAUAUAGAUGUUAAAAAUUAAAUCAUUAAAGAUUACAUCAAAAUAUAUAAAUAUAACGUAGUACAAGCAAGGACUGCCAGUGAGAGUUCGGUACCAGCGAUAGCUAAAAGAACUUCAAAAGCUGCCUGUUCAAAUGCCAAUGAUCUUGUAAAUUUUGCCUCCAGACUUAAAAUGAAAAAUCAAAAACCGAAUAUUCUGGAGUUUCUCGAGAUAACAGCCAAGGUUCGUCUUUACCAAGAAUCCGGCAAGCUCACGCAAUUAAGCAGAAGAAGCACUAGCGUAUUAUCAUUAAACAAAUGAUAAGUAUAUGUAUACACAUUUAAAAAAUGUAAUACAAACAUGGACUGCCCAAGAAAUUUCGGUAACAACAGAUAACAAAAAAAGACUGAUUUUCAAAAGCUGCCCAAUAGAGUGCCUUGCAGAACAAAUGGACCUUUUAAAAUUAAAGGUUGCUUCCGAACGCCUUUUUAUGCCUAGCAGAGGGUAUUAUAAUUUUAGUCAAAAGCAUGUAACGCAGAGAAGGACAUAUAAUAUUUUCUAUAAAGUAUAUCUUUUAUUGAACAACAUCAUAAGGAGAGUCGAUCUAGUCAUGUCCGUGUGUCUGUCCGUCCGUUUUUUUUUUUCGAAAACA
Molecule: long non-coding RNA, 838 nt
Organism: Drosophila elegans
Lineage: Eukaryota; Metazoa; Arthropoda; Insecta; Diptera; Drosophilidae
Exons: 6
Source: RefSeq, a predicted model, not a curated record